CCUACGGGAGGCUGCAGUGAGGAAUAUUGGUCAAUGGGCUCGGGCCUGAACCAGCCAAGUAGCGUGAAGGAUGACUGCCCUACGGAUUGUAAACUUCUUUUAUAAAGGAAUAAAGUGAGGCACUUUUGCCUUUGUGUAUGUAUUUGAUGAAAAAGCAUCGGCUAACUCCGUGCCAGCAGCCGCGGUAAUACGGAGGAUCCGAGCGUUAUCCGGAUUUAUUGGGUUUAAAGGGAGCGUAGAUGGGUUGUUAAGUCAGUGGUGAAAGUUUGGGGCUCAACCGUAAAAUUGCAAUUGAUACUGGCAGUCUUGAGUACAGUUGAGGUACGCGGAAUUCGCGGUGUAGCGGUGAAAUGCAUAGAUAUCACGAAGAACUCCGAUUGCGAAGGCAGCUUACUAAACUGCCACUGACAUUGAUGCUCGAAAGUGUGGGUAUCAAACAGGAUUAGAUACCCGAGUAGUC
This 460-nucleotide ribosomal RNA is filed under the name uncultured bacterium. RNAcentral's name for it is "partial 16S ribosomal RNA". It matches the Rfam family "Bacterial small subunit ribosomal RNA", at positions 338 to 795 of the family's 1533-position model. The record is from RNAcentral.